This 745-nucleotide ribosomal RNA is filed under the name Sporobolomyces sp. Its description in RNAcentral is "SSU rRNA". It matches the Rfam family "Eukaryotic small subunit ribosomal RNA", at positions 615 to 1365 of the family's 1831-position model. Lineage: Eukaryota; Fungi; Basidiomycota; Microbotryomycetes; Sporidiobolales; Sporidiobolaceae. The record is from RNAcentral.
GCCGUUAAAAAGCUCGUAGUCGAACUUCGGCGCCUGAUGGCCGGUCCCCCUUCUUGGUGUGUACUUGCUCAUCGGGCGCUUACCUCCUGGUGAACUCUGAUGUCCUUUACUGGGUGUCAGAGCAAACCAGGACGUUUACUUUGAAAAAAUUAGAGUGUUCAAAGCAGGCCUACGCCCGAAUACAUUAGCAUGGAAUAAUAGAAUAGGACGCGCGUUCCCAUUUUGUUGGUUUCUGAGAUCGCCGUAAUGAUUAAUAGGGAUAGUUGGGGGCAUUUGUAUUCCGUCGUCAGAGGUGAAAUUCUUGGAUUGCCGGAAGACAAACUACUGCGAAAGCAUUUGCCAAGGAUGUUUUCAUUGAUCAAGAACGAAGGAAGGGGGAUCGAAAACGAUCAGAUACCGUUGUAGUCUCUUCUGUAAACUAUGCCAAUUGGGGAUUAGCACAGGAUUUUCAAUGACUGUGUUAGCACCCGAAGAGAAAUCUUUAAAUGAGGUUCGGGGGGGAGUAUGGUCGCAAGGCUGAAACUUAAAGGAAUUGACGGAAGGGCACCACCAGGUGUGGAGCCUGCGGCUUAAUUUGACUCAACACGGGGAAACUCACCAGGUCCAGACACAAUAAGGAUUGACAGAUUGAUAGCUCUUUCUUGAUCUUGUGGUUGGUGGUGCAUGGCCGUUCUUAGUUGGUGGAGUGAUUUGUCUGGUUAAUUCCGAUAACGAACGAGACCUUAACCUGCUAAAUAGACCAGUC